UACGGGGGGGGGCAAGCGUUGUUCGGAAUUACUGGGCGUAAAGGGUUUGUAGGUGGCCCGCUAAGUCACACGUGAAAUCCCUCAGCUUAACUGGGGAACUGCGUGUGAGACUGGCAGGCUCGAGGGCAGGAGAGGAACGCGGAAUUCCAGGUGUAGCGGUGAAAUGCGUAGAUAUCUGGAGGAACACCGGUGGCGAAGGCGGCGCGCUGGAUCCCUACUGACGCUGAGGCACGAAAGCCAGGGGAGCAAACGGGG
This 255-nucleotide ribosomal RNA is filed under the name uncultured bacterium. RNAcentral describes it as "partial 16S ribosomal RNA". It matches the Rfam family "Bacterial small subunit ribosomal RNA", at positions 524 to 777 of the family's 1533-position model. The record is from RNAcentral.